This is a non-coding RNA of Cinara cedri, 218 nucleotides long. Lineage: Eukaryota; Metazoa; Arthropoda; Insecta; Hemiptera; Aphididae. The record is from the annotation of a GenBank genome assembly.
AUAAAAAUAGCAGCAAAUUAAUUUUUAAUGUUUCAUAAUUUUUCCAAUGAGUUACCAAUAGUUACUUUUGGGAUGUGACUGUAUUUUAACUAGGAACAUAUUGUGUAAUAAUGAUUGGUAGGUCAGAAUAGUCACAUAUCAAAAGUGUCAUAUUUAAACUGGAAACUAUAUAUUGUUUUAGGAGAAAUAAAGACAUUUGACCUUAUACUGUUUUCAAU